Long non-coding RNA from Oreochromis aureus, 1849 nucleotides. RefSeq lists it as uncharacterized. NCBI's taxonomy places the organism in Eukaryota, Metazoa, Chordata, Actinopteri, Cichliformes, Cichlidae. The record is from RefSeq and is a predicted model, not a curated record. The transcript has 2 exons.
GAAAUAGAUCGCUUUACAUCAGAGUCCUGCAAUUGGGUUCUACUCCUUGACAGUUUAUAUUUUCAGAGAAAUACUGUAAUGAUUUGGGGGCUGUAGUUUUUCAGCAAGAACCUCAAACACACUGAGGCUUUAAAAUGUUAAUGUGUUUGUUUUAUAUGAAAAUGCAAAGAGACUACAUAAAAGCAACAGUUGUUACUGUAUGAUGAUGAUGACAGAAUUGGAUAUGGCAGAAAUGUAUUAACCUGUGAAUGUGUUUGUGUCCCCCCCCGAAUGGCCUUGAUGAAGUUAAUUGCCAACCAGCCUUAUUUCCAGCCCCCACCUUUGCAUAUUCGGGUUUUGAAACCCUGCGACCAGCUCACGGUGUUCACCUGGGACCCGAAAGAGGAAGUGGUUAAACCACUCAUAAAGUGUAGUAAAGCUGGCAACCAUCACCGAUGGGGAGAUGGUAGUAAAAAUAACUGUUUGAGGAGUUUCUCGAAAGUGGGGUCUCAUAUAAUGAGGGGGCAUAAUCUAAGAGGUAAAGCUCCACCUAAAGACAGACAUCAUAGCACGGACCCAGUUUUUCAAGGCACCUGCCCGUCCUUUUGCAGAAGACGUUUUUGUAAAAGCUGAGGAUCUUUUGCAUCCCCUGGCUCCUUUGACUAACCUGAAGAUGAGCUCAACAAAUGUGGGGCUUAUGACAAUAGAAGGGGAGGUUAGCAUUUGUGCAGCCAUCAGAAUUGAUAUUGCUUUAGGUUUUAGAAGCCAUUAGUGUUUGUAUGUAUUUACAAGUAAAAUCAAUCAUUUGUUUUCAAACUAAAAGAUUUGACCUGACUGUUACGUUCACCUGUUAACAUUCUGGCUGCCACACAUUUUUCUCCCCCCCCCCCCUUAAUUUAUUUUAUUCUAAUUUCUGUCUGUGUUCUGCUGUUAUUGGAAACUGAAUUUCCCCGAGGAGCUACCUGAGGGAUUAAUAAAAGUUCUAAAUUGGACAUUGAUGUUGCCGUUACUCAAGGAUGGGUUCAAAGAAAAUUAUGAAAUGUAUUGUGUCUCCAACAACAACGUCAACAACAACAACAACGUCAACAACAACAACAACGUCAACAACAACAACAACAACAACAACAACAACAACAACAACAACAACAACAACAACAACAACAGACAGUAGUGAAUAAAGAAAGACCCAUCAUGGAUGUAUUCAUCACUCUGACAUUAUAUUUUAAUGGACUUUUCAGUGUUCGGCAGUGAGUAAGGAACUUGUUUCCCCUCACACAACCUAUUAAAUAAAAACAAACAAAAAAAACAAAAACACACCACACACCUGCAGCUAAAGCAGGUAAUGGUGCAACGGAGGUAUGAUAUUGAAAGUGGCCAAAGUCAUUUGGCAUAAUUGAGAUUGGUGGUAGAGGAGCAGAUUGUAUUAGGUUUGUGGCCUUUAUUUUGGUAGCGAGUGGCUUUUUGUAUUUGUCAAUUAAUGAAUCUUCCAUUCUGUCAUGUUUGUGAUUUCAGGAUAAUUAUGCCAUGACUGUCUCUCUGGAGAGAGGCAGCUAUUCACCACUUUCAUGUAGAAAACCCCAUAAAAGACAAAAGAGGACAGAGCACAGGUCAAUGUCAUUGGCGUGGCCCACUACUGACACGUCCAACCAACUAGAGGUACUGUUGGAAAGUGGAGAAAGCCUGUAUAUCGAUACAGACAUGUGGAAACCGUUUGACAAGGACCUGGAAAAAGCCAUAGCGAAUAUUAAAAUCAGAGGGAAGCAAAUUACUGACAUAAAGUCAGCAUGAGUAUGGAAGUAUUUGUGGUUUGUGUGUUGUUGAGAAUGUUCAGGGGGGGGGAAAAAAAAAAAAAAAAAAAAAAAAAAAAAAA